RNAcentral lists this ribosomal RNA (633 nucleotides) under uncultured bacterium. Its description in RNAcentral is "bacterial SSU rRNA". The stretch from base 1 to 544 matches the Rfam family "Bacterial small subunit ribosomal RNA", at positions 338 to 873 of the family's 1533-position model. The record is from RNAcentral.
CCUACGGGAGGCAGCAGUGGGGAAUUUUGGACAAUGGGGGCAACCCUGAUCCAGCCAUUCCGCGUGAGUGAAGAAGGCCUUCGGGUUGUAAAGCUCUUUCGCAAGGGAAGAAAACUUAUGAUCGAAUAAAUCAUGAGGUUGACGGUACCUUGAUAAGAAGCACCGGCUAACUACGUGCCAGCAGCCGCGGUAAUACGUAGGGUGCGAGCGUUAAUCGGAAUUACUGGGCGUAAAGCGUGCGCAGGCGGUUUUGUAAGUCGGAUGUGAAAUCCCCGGGCUCAACCUGGGAACUGCGUUCGAAACUGCAAGGCUAGAGUGUGUCAGAGGGGGGUAGAAUUCCACGUGUAGCAGUGAAAUGCGUAGAGAUGUGGAGGAAUACCAAUGGCGAAGGCAGCCCCCUGGGAUAACACUGACGCUCAUGCACGAAAGCGUGGGGAGCAAACAGGAUUAGAUACCCUGGUAGUCUACGCCCUAAACGAUGUCAACUAGUUGUUGGUAGAGUAAAAUCUAUGAGUAACGUAGCUAACGCGUGAAGUUGACCGCCUGGGGGAGGUACGGUCGCGAAGAAUUAAAACUAACGAAAGAAAGUUAGACGGCGUGAGACGUGCCGACGGACGACGACGAGGGAGGAGG